CAGGAAGAUGGAAGGGACAGCUUCAUAAGGUAGUGAGGCUUCUGUCUCUGAAAGCAUGCAAGACAAGGCCAGAGGAGCAUGUAGUGGAAGGAUUGGAGGAGAUUCAAGCAUCCAAGGACAAUCUCCCUGGCCCUUCAGGUCCUGCAGGUGGUUGGUUUUGUGGUGGGAAUUGCACAGCUUUUCCCAGCAUCCUCUGCAUUGCUCAGGCCUGCCCCUUGUAAGUUGUCUGUUUCCCACCGUGGCCUCUGUCAUAGGCCAAGUGCUCACCCUCUACUACUUCUCACUUUGUUCCAUUGGGGGCCGAUUUGAAUUCAGGGUCAAACUAAGGAGGGUACAUUUUUCUUCCAAGGGGCAACAGGGCAAUGAAAUGGCAGCCACUGGACUAGCAUUUAUUGAGCAGUUUAUUUGUCCAAUGUCGCAUUCUAGUAAGUGACAGAAAUAAAUUGUUAGGAGUCUGGCGGGUAGUCCUGUGGUUGCACCCUGCUCUGUCAUGUAGCUGAGUAAUUUUGGCCAAGUUACUCAGCCUAAGUCCCCAAUUCCUGGUUUCUGGGUCCACUGAGGUUUAUACCAGGUUGUUGCUUCAGCCCCUAAGUCACACAAUGAAGUUAGGGAUUCUUGGGGAUUUAAAGCUGGAAAGCUGUUGCAACCCAAAGGGCUAGGGUUUCUAGGUUUUCUUUCAAAGAAUGGCUAGAGAGAUGUUUACAGUGGGAAGUGCUUCAUAGGUCCCCUGGUCAUGUUCUGGGUAGAAGGCAGCAGGGCUCCACAGCGGGUUGGGUUCUGGGGAAAGCAGCUCCACACAAAAAGGUAAAGGCUGUGGCUCAGAUGCCCAGUCCCACUCCAGGGCUGAAGACUUGUGGGAAGGCUGGCCUUCCACGUUCCGGUCCUUCCCUGUAGGUGCGAGCCCUAGAGAGCUGUUCUGCACCAUGUUCUGCACACCCUGACAUCUCUGGAGAGUCCUUCAUUCAACAGAUCAGGUGCCUCUUCCUUAGCUCUGGUCUGGGCACACAUCUCAUGAGCCCAGUCCACAGCGGUUGGCAUGCAUGGGAGGCAUGGGCUAUUCUGGAAGCGGCCAGUCCCAGACGUUCUAGCGGGAUGGUGUAACCAGCUCCAUGAACCCCUAUGUUUUAUAUAAUCUUCUCCCUUAACUACUUGACCCUUUGAGUUGUUUCCCAAAAAUGAUGGACCUCAAGUGAUCCUCCAGCCAGGGCCUCCGAAAGUGCUGGGAUUAUAGGUGUCAGCCACCACACUGGCCUGAAAUGAUGGAUUUUGUACCAGACAAAGGAGUUGAGACUCUGAAAGCCCUAGGGCAGACUUCCUGACGCCAAGAUUCAUUAUUCCCCCCCACAACCUGCCCCCAUGCAGGUAGCCCCUUGUGAGAUAUACCCCAAUCUGCCCCCAGGUACUGUGGCCUCCUCCUUUAAAAGUCCAUGACAUCCCUUAGUCGAGAGAUGGGUUUGAGGCAGCUUCUCCCGUUGUCCUAUUAAAAAUUCCUUUCUUCUUUGGCAAUCCUCAUAGUCUCAAUAAUUGGAGUUUUGUGCGACCAGCAAUUGGACCUACACGGAACCCCCCCAGCGGUUUCGACUAGAGGAGGGAGGGGAGAGGCCGAGCUGCUAGGGAGUGGCGCUGCCUUAGGGCCGAGGGUGGAGCUUUCCCCGACCGGGAAUGGGCUGGGCCCAGCCUACACGUGAAGGCAGGACUGAGCGUGGGCAGGCGGUCCCUUGAGGAGUCCGGGAGGCAGCCACCGCCAGACCGAAUCCCGGGAGUCCCCACGUGACUCUGAGUCGCCGAUCACCGGAUGCCCCAGAUUCUUGGGACCCAAUCCCGGAUUUCAGAUCCUCAGGAGCUUGCAAGCCCGAGCUCGGAUUUCUUCCUAAACUUGAUUCCCGGAACGGGACGUCCGGCCGGAUUCCGGAUCCCCAGAUCCCGUAGAAGAUUGUCCGAUCCCGACCGGAUUCCCGAGCCCGAGAUUCCUGGACCGCAGGCCCAGGCUCCUGCCCCGCCGCGGGUUCCCAGCGCCCCGCGCCCCACUCCAAGCGCCCCGCAUGGCGGGGUCGUGCGCCCGGUCCGGGGCGCAGCGCGCCGGCAGCUGCUGGCAGGACCCGCUGGCCGAGGCACUGAGCAGGGGUCGGCCGCUAGCUGGGUCCUCGGGCCGGGGCUGCGCGCGGAGCCGGCCGCUCAGCGUGGUCUACGUGCUGACCCGGGAGCCGCGGCCCGGGGUGGAGCCUGGGGAGGGCACCGAGACCGAGCCGCGGCCCCUGCGCUGCCUGCGCGAGGCUUGCGCGCAGCUCUCCGGGCCGCGGCCGCCGCCGCAGCUGCGCAGCCUGCCCUUUGGGACACUGGCGCUGGGCGACACCGCGGCGCUGGACUCCUUCUACAACGCGGACGUGGUGGUUCUGGAGGUGAGCAGCUCUCUGGCACAGCCCUCCCUGUUCUACCACCUCGGUGUGCGUGAGAGCUUCAGCAUGACCAACAACGUGCUCCUCUGCUCCCAGGCAGACCUCCCCGACCUGCAGGCCCUGCGGGAGGAUGUUUUCCAGAGGAACUCGGAUUGCGUUGGCAGCUACACACUGAUCCCCUAUGUGGUGACAGCCACUGGUCGGGUGCUGUGUGGUGACGUAGGGCUUCUCAGAGGCCUGGCUGAUGGCCUCGUACAGGCUGGAGUGGGCACUGAGGCCCUGCUCACCCCUCUGGUGGGCCGGCUUGCCCGCCUGCUGGAGGCCACACCCACGGACUCUUGUGGCUAUUUCCGGGAGACCAUUCGGCAGGAUAUCAGGCGGGCACGGGAGCGGUUCAGCGGGCAGCAGCUGCGGCAGGAGCUGGCCCGCCUGCAGCGGAGACUGGACAGCGUGGAGCUGCUGAGCCCCGACAUCAUCAUGAACUUGCUGCUGUCCUACCGCGACGUGCAGGACUACUCGGCCAUCAUUGAGCUGGUGGAGACGCUGCAGGCCUUGCCCACCUGCGAUGUGGCCGAGCAGCACAAUGUCUGCUUCCACUACACGUUCGCCCUCAACCGGAGGAACAAGCCUGGGGACCGGGAGAAGGCACUGGCUGUCCUGCUACCACUGGUACAGUUUGAGGGCUCUGUGGCACCUGAUCUAUACUGCAUGUGUGGCCGUGUGUACAAGGACAUGUUCUUCAGCUCUGGCUUCCAGGAUGGUAGACACCGAGAGCAGGCCUAUCACUGGUACCGCAAGGCUUUUGAUGUGGAGCCCAGCCUCCACUCGGGCAUCAAUGCCGCUGUGCUCCUCGUUGCUGCUGGCCAGCACUUUGAGGACUCCGAGGAGCUCCGGCUAAUAGGCAUGAAGCUGGGCUGUCUGCUGGCCCGAAAAGGCUGUGUGGAGAAGAUGCAGUAUUACUGGGAUGUAGGUUUCUACCUGGGAGCCCAGAUCCUCGCCAAUGACCCCACCCAGGUGGUGCUGGCUGCAGAACAGCUGUACAAGCUCAAUGCCCCCAUAUGGUACCUGGUGUCUGUGAUGGAAACCUUCCUGCUCUACCGACACUUCAGACCCAUGCCACAGCCGUCUGGAGGACCUCCACGCCAUGCCCACUUCUGGCUACACUUCUUGCUACAGUCCUGCCAGCCAUUCAACACAACCUCUCCCCAGGGGGAUCAGUGCUUGGUGCUGGUCCUGGAGAUGAACAAGGUGCUGCUGCCAGCGCAGGUGGAGGUUCGGGGUAGGGACCCGGUGAGCGCAGUGAUCCUGAGCCUGCUGCAUGGGGAGACCCAGGACUUUCCCGCCAGGUGGACCUUCCCAGUUGCCUCCAUCUGCGGAGUCAGUGCCUCCAAGCGGGACGAGCGCUGCUGCUUCCUUUAUGCGCUGCCCCCCGCCCAGGACGUCCAGCUGUGCUUCCCCAGCGUAGGGCACUGCCAGUGGUUCUGCAGCCUGAUCCAGGCCUUGGUGACGAAUCCGGAUUCCUCGGCGCCCACGGAAGCGGCAGGGGGCGUGGGAGAGGUGCUGGAGUUUGAUUAUGAGUACACGGAGACCGGCGAGCGGCUGGUGCUGGGCAAGGGCACGUACGGGGUGGUAUACGCGGGCCGCGAGCGGCACACGAGGGUACGCAUCGCCAUCAAGGAGAUCCCGGAGCGGGACAGCAGGUUCUCUCAGCCCCUGCAUGAGGAGAUCGCUCUUCACAAACGCCUGCGCCACAAGAACAUCGUGCGCUACCUGGGCUCAGCUAGCCAGGGCGGCUACCUUAAGAUCUUCAUGGAGGAAGUGCCUGGAGGUAGCCUGUCCUCCUUGCUGCGGUCAGUGUGGGGACCCCUGAAGGACAACGAGAGCACCAUCAGCUUCUACACCCGCCAGAUCCUGCAGGGACUCAGCUACCUGCACGACAACCAUAUUGUGCACCGGGACAUCAAGGGGGACAAUGUGCUGAUCAAUACCUUCAGUGGGCUGCUCAAGAUUUCUGACUUCGGCACCUCCAAGCGGCUGGCGGGCAUCACACCCUGCACUGAGACCUUCACAGGGACCCUGCAGUAUAUGGCUCCAGAAAUCAUUGACCAGGGCCCACGAGGGUAUGGGAAGGCGGCUGACAUCUGGUCAUUGGGCUGCACUGUAAUCGAGAUGGCCACAGGUCGCCCACCCUUCCACGAGCUGGGGAGCCCACAGGCUGCCAUGUUUCAGGUGGGCAUGUACAAGGUGCAUCCACCAAUGCCCAGUUCUCUGUCUGCUGAAGCCCAAGCCUUCCUCCUUCGAACUUUUGAACCAGACCCCCGCCUCCGAGCCAGCGCCCAAGCACUGCUGAGGGACUCCUUCCUACAGCCUGGGAAGAGGAGCCGCAGCCCUGGCUCUCCCCAACAUGCUCCACGGCCCUCAGAUGUCCCUUCCACCAGUUCUACUCCUUCAGCUGACGCGACCACACAGUCCCAGACUUUCCCACGCCCUCAGGCACCCUCUCAACACCCGCCCAGCCCACCGAAGCGCUGCCUCAGUUAUGGGGACACCAGCCAGCUCCGGGUGCCUGAGGAGCCUGGGGCCGAGGAGCCUGCAUCCCCGGAGGAGAGUUCGGGGCUGAGCCUGUUGCACCAGGAGAGCAAGCGCCGGGCCAUGCUGGCCGAGGUGCUGGAGCAGGAGCUGGCCACGCUGGCGGAGAGUCUGCUCCUGGAGCAGGAGCAGGAGCAGGAGCAGGGUUCCCAUCUGGGCAGGGAUCAUGUGGAACAGCUGCUGCGCUGCCUCGGGGCGCACAUCCACACUCCCAACCGCCGGCAGCUGGUCCAGGAGCUCCGGGCGCUGCAAGGGCAGCUUCGAGCCAAGGGCCUUGGGCCUACACUUCUGCACGGACCGCUCUUUGCCUUCCCGGAUGCGGUGAAGCAGAUCCUCCGCAGGCGCCAGAUCCGCCCACACUGGAUGUUCGUGCUGGACUCGCUGCUCAGCCGCGCGGUGCGGGCCGCCCUGGCUGUGCUGAGCCCGGGCUUCGCCAAGUCCUGGCUGAGAAGGAACGUGAGUGCCAGGCCCUAGUGCAGCGGGCGCUGCAGCGGGUGAAUGCGGAGGCCAGGGCCGACGCCCUGGCCUCAGAGCCCCCAGCUGCUCUCCCAGCGGACCAGGGCCUGGUGCAGUGGCUACAGGAACUGAGUGUGGAUUCAGCCACCAUCCAAACGCUGCUGAACCACAGCUUUACCCUCCAUGCCCUGCUCACCUGUGCCACUCGAGAUGACCUCAUCUACACCCGCAUCAGGGGAGGGAUGGUAUGCCGCAUCUGGAGAGCCAUCUUGGCACAGCGAGCAGGACCCAUGCCAGUUACCCCUGGACCCCGGGAAGCUGAGUGAACACAUCAGAG
Molecule: non-coding RNA, 5778 nt
Organism: Microcebus murinus (gray mouse lemur)
Lineage: Eukaryota; Metazoa; Chordata; Mammalia; Primates; Cheirogaleidae
Source: RefSeq, a predicted model, not a curated record